This 460-nucleotide ribosomal RNA is filed under the name uncultured bacterium. RNAcentral's name for it is "partial 16S ribosomal RNA". It matches the Rfam family "Bacterial small subunit ribosomal RNA", at positions 338 to 795 of the family's 1533-position model. The record is from RNAcentral.
CCUACGGGGGGCUGCAGUGAGGAAUAUUGGUCAAUGGACGAGAGUCUGAACCAGCCAAGUAGCGUGAAGGAUGACUGCCCUAUGGGUUGUAAACUUCUUUUAUAUGGGAAUAAAACGUUCCACGUGUGGGAUUUUGUAUGUACCAUAUGAAUAAGGAUCGGCUAACUCCGUGCCAGCAGCCGCGGUAAUACGGAGGAUCCGAGCGUUAGCCGGAUUUAUUGGGUUUAAAGGGAGCGUAGGUGGAGUGUUAAGUCAGUUGUGAAAGUUUGCGGCUCAACCGUAAAAUUGCAGUUGAAACUGGCAGUCUUGAGUACAGUAGAGGUGGGCGGAAUUCGUGGUGUAGCGGUGAAAUGCUUAGAUAUCACGAAGAACUCCGAUUGCGAAGGCAGUUCACUGGACUGCAACUGACACUGAGGCUCGAAAGUGUGGGUAUCAAACAGGAUUAGAGACCCCAGUAGUC